This 254-nucleotide ribosomal RNA is filed under the name uncultured Acidobacteriota bacterium. RNAcentral's name for it is "uncultured Acidobacteria bacterium partial 16S ribosomal RNA". It matches the Rfam family "Bacterial small subunit ribosomal RNA", at positions 524 to 776 of the family's 1533-position model. Lineage: Bacteria; Pseudomonadati; Acidobacteriota. The record is from RNAcentral.
UACGGGGGGGGCAAGCGUUGUUCGGAAUUACUGGGCGUAAGGGGCUCGUAGGUGGCCAACUAGUCAGACGUGAAAUCCCCAGGCUCAACUUGGGAACUGCGUCUGAUACUGGAUGGCUUGAAUCCGGGAGAGGGAUGCAGAAUUCCAGGUGUAGCGGUGAAAUGCGUAGAUAUCUGGAGGAAUACCGGUGGCGAAGGCGGCAUCCUGGACCGGCAUUGACACUGAGAGUAGCGAAAGCCAGGGGAGCAAACGGG